UGGGGAAUUUUGGACAAUGGGGGAAACCCUGAUCCAGCCAUCCCGCGUGUGCGAUGAAGGCCUUCGGGUUGUAAAGCACUUUUGGCAGGAAAGAAACGUCAUGGGUUAAUACCCCGUGAAACUGACGGUACCUGCAGAAUAAGCACCGGCUAACUACGUGCCAGCAGCCGCGGUAAUACGUAGGGUGCAAGCGUUAAUCGGAAUUACUGGGCGUAAAGCGUGCGCAGGCGGUUCGGAAAGAAAGAUGUGAAAUCGCAGAGCUCAACUUUGGAACUGCAUUUUUAACUACCGGGCUAGAGUGUGUCAGAGGGAGGUGGAAUUCCGCGUGUAGCAGUGAAAUGCGUAGAUAUGCGGAGGAACACCGAUGGCGAAGGCAGCCUCCUGGGAUAACACUGACGCUCAUGCACGAAAGCGUGGGGAGCAAACAGG
RNAcentral lists this ribosomal RNA (429 nucleotides) under Acidobacteriota bacterium. RNAcentral describes it as "Acidobacteria bacterium partial 16S ribosomal RNA". It matches the Rfam family "Bacterial small subunit ribosomal RNA", at positions 355 to 776 of the family's 1533-position model. Lineage: Bacteria; Pseudomonadati; Acidobacteriota. The record is from RNAcentral.